This 393-nucleotide ribosomal RNA is filed under the name uncultured bacterium. RNAcentral's name for it is "partial 16S ribosomal RNA". It matches the Rfam family "Bacterial small subunit ribosomal RNA", at positions 523 to 918 of the family's 1533-position model. The record is from RNAcentral.
AUACGGAGGAUCCAAGCGUUAUCCGGAUUUAUUGGGUUUAAAGGGUGCGCAGGCGGAAGAUUAAGUCGGCGGUGAAAUUUUGCAGGUCAACUGUAAAAGUGCCAUCGAUACUGGUUUUCUUGAGUGUAGAUGAAGUAGGCGGAAUUUGUGGUGUAGCGGUGAAAUGCAUAGAUAUCACGAGGAACUCCGAUUGCGCAGGCAGCUUACUAAACUACUACUGACGCUCAGGCACGAAGGCGUGGGGAUCAAACAGGAUUAGAUACCCUGGUAGUCCACGCAGUAAACGAUGAUUACUAGCUGUUUGCGAUACAAUGUAAGCGGCUGAGCGAAAGCGUUAAGUAAUCCACCUGGGGAGUACGUUCGCAAGAAUGAAACUCAAAUGAAUUGACGGGG